UACGUAGGGUGCAAGCGUUGUCCGGAAUUAUUGGGCGUAAAGAGCUCGUAGGCGGUUUGUUGCGUCGGCUGUGAAAUCCCGAGGCUCAACCUGGGAACUGCAUUCGAUACUGGACGGCUAGAGUAUGAGAGAGGGAGGUAGAAUUCCACGUGUAGCGGUGAAAUGCGUAGAUAUGUGGAGGAAUACCGGUGGCGAAGGCGGCCUCCUGGUUCAAUACUGACGCUGAGGUGCGAAAGCGUGGGGAGCAAACAGG
This 253-nucleotide ribosomal RNA is filed under the name uncultured bacterium. RNAcentral's name for it is "partial 16S ribosomal RNA". It matches the Rfam family "Bacterial small subunit ribosomal RNA", at positions 524 to 776 of the family's 1533-position model. The record is from RNAcentral.